Molecule: ribosomal RNA, 158 nt
Filed under: Microcyclospora malicola
Lineage: Eukaryota; Fungi; Ascomycota; Dothideomycetes; Capnodiales
Also listed under: 6 other names
Description: 5.8S ribosomal RNA
Rfam family: 5.8S ribosomal RNA
About the family: 5.8S ribosomal RNA (5.8S rRNA) is a component of the large subunit of the eukaryotic ribosome. It is transcribed by RNA polymerase I as part of the 45S precursor that also contains 18S and 28S rRNA. Functionally, it is thought that 5.8S rRNA may be involved in ribosome translocation.
Source: RNAcentral
AAACUUUCAACAACGGAUCUCUUGGUUCUGGCAUCGAUGAAGAACGCAGCGAAAUGCGAUAAGUAAUGUGAAUUGCAGAAUUCCGUGAAUCAUCGAAUCUUUGAACGCACAUUGCGCCCCUCGGUAUUCCGGGGGGCAUGCUUGUUCGAGCGUCAUUA